Molecule: long non-coding RNA, 347 nt
Filed under: Physcomitrium patens
Lineage: Eukaryota; Viridiplantae; Streptophyta; Bryopsida; Funariales; Funariaceae
Description: long non-coding RNA (PPAT_LNC010723)
Source: RNAcentral
UUAGUUAUUAAAAGUAAUUAAUUAUAGGAUUAUGGUUAGAAUCUAGGAAUAGGAAGUAAGUAUAUAGGAGUUGUAGAAGCUAGUAUGAGUGCUAAACUGUGAUAGUCAUGAGCUGGGGUAAGCUUGGUGCUACCUCUUUGUUUCUUUGUUUUUUUGUUUUUAAAAAGUAAUGGAUAGUUUUUGAAUACUGAGAAGUGAGUCUGUGGAAUAAAUCAGAGAUUGAUUUAUGAGUUGUUGAUUAUGUAAUUGGAGCACUGAGUGAUUGAAUAAUAUGAGGAGUUAUUGAAAGAUUAUAAUUGUUGUUUAUUGAGAGCUGUAUAUGUUUUGAUAGAGGAAGUCUGUAAUUA